This 246-nucleotide long non-coding RNA is filed under the name Elaeis guineensis (African oil palm). Its description in RNAcentral is "long non-coding RNA (EGUI_LNC023374)". Lineage: Eukaryota; Viridiplantae; Streptophyta; Magnoliopsida; Arecales; Arecaceae. The record is from RNAcentral.
GGCUGAGAUUAAAACAUUUUGGUUGUUUCGAUUAUUUUAGUUUUGGGUUUAGUGGGCCAGUCCAAAAAUGAUAAAGAUACAAAAAUAAGAAAAUAUUAAGUAAGAAAGCUAAAAAAAUAAAAAUUUGAGAUAUAUAAUAGGCUUAAUUACUUUAAAAAUCUUAGAUUUUUUUUUUUAGAAGUUUUCAUUUUUAUUCUAAACUUUGAUUCAUUGCAAUCAAGUCCUCAAACUUUUAUAAUAUUGUAU